GUGAAGUUGCUUUAACCUAGCGGCGGACGGGUGAGUAACGCGUGGGUAACCUACCCUAAAGUUCGGGAUAACAGCGGGAAACCGCUGCUAAUACCGGAUGUCUUUACCUUGGGGCAUCUUGAGGUAAAGAAAGGCAACGCUUUGGGAUGGGCCCGCGUCCCAUUAGCUAGUUGGUGAGGUAACAGCUCACCAAGGCGACGAUGGGUAGCCGGCCUGAGAGGGUGGACGGCCACACUGGGACUGAGACACGGCCCAGACUCCUACGGGAGGCAGCAGUAGGGAAUAUUGCGCAAUGGACGGAAGUCUGACGCAGCGACGCCGCGUGAGCGAUGAAGGUCUUCGGAUCGUAAAGCUCUGUCCUUGGGGAAGAAGGCGAAAGCUUGACGGUACCCAAGAAGAAAGCCCCGGCUAACUACGUGCCAGCAGCCGCGGUAAUACGUAGGGGGCGAGCGUUGUCCGGAAUUACUGGGCGUAAAGGGUGCGUAGGCGGCCCUUUAAGUCGGAUGUGAAAGCCCGCGGCUUAACCGCGGAAUGGCAUUCGAAACUGGAGGGCUUGAGUGUCGGAGAGGGUAGUGGAAUUCCCAGUGUAGCGGUAAAAUGCGUAGAUAUAUGGAGGAACACCAGUGGCGAAGGCGGCUACCUGGUCUGUAACUGACGAUGAGGCACGAAAGCGUGGGGAGCAAAUAGGAUUAGAUACCCUAGUAGUCCACGCUGUAAACGAUGAAUACUAAGUGUUGGGGAAACUCAGUGCUGCAGUUAACGCAAUAAGUAUUCCGCCUGGGGAGUAUGCACGCAAGUGUGAAACUCAAAGGAAUUGACGGGGGCCCGCACAAGCGGUGG
Molecule: ribosomal RNA, 840 nt
Filed under: uncultured bacterium
Lineage: Bacteria
Description: bacterial SSU rRNA
Rfam family: Bacterial small subunit ribosomal RNA
Source: RNAcentral